RNAcentral lists this small RNA (28 nucleotides) under Bombyx mori (domestic silkworm). Its description in RNAcentral is "ovarian small RNA-22004". Lineage: Eukaryota; Metazoa; Arthropoda; Insecta; Lepidoptera; Bombycidae. The record is from RNAcentral.
UAGAGAUUGUUAAAUGAAACACGUAUUG